CCUGAGAAACCCAAAAGAUCGAUCGGGGAGAUUCAUCGUCAGCGAUUCUGGUACGUGUGCGGUUCGCGAUGUUGCGGGACUUCGGUCCAGUGACACGCGUCCGCGCAUGUUUACAAUUGCCAGGUGUCGUCGGCGUGCACUUCUCCCCUAGUAGAACGUCGCGACCCGUUGGGUGUCGGUCUACGGCCCGGAUGGUAGUCUGUCGUGCGUCGCGCCUUGUGCCGACAUGCGGCAGACCGCCGGUCGCCCGACCGGCUGCCCGGCGGUACUCGCACGGUAUCCGAGCCGCAAAUAUUUGAACUGCGUCCGGCCCGCCGCAAGCGAGGUCAGUGUUUCCCGGAUGUGCGGACCUAGCGCCGUCACCGGGCCUGACCAGCUGUUGGUCGGUGGUGUCCUGGGACUGGCUCAAUCAAUUAUGAUACCGGUCGGCGACGCUACUGCUUUGGGUACUUUAA
This 455-nucleotide ribosomal RNA is filed under the name Lissonota scutellaris. Its description in RNAcentral is "partial 28S ribosomal RNA". Lineage: Eukaryota; Metazoa; Arthropoda; Insecta; Hymenoptera; Ichneumonidae. The record is from RNAcentral.